GUCUACGGCCAUGCCACCCUGAACAAGCCCAAUGUCUGAUCUCGGAAGCUAAGCAGGGUUGGGCCUGGUUAGUACUUGAAUGAGAGACCACCUGGGAAGACCAGGUGCUGUAGGCA
RNAcentral lists this ribosomal RNA (116 nucleotides) under Pteropus alecto (black flying fox). The record is from RNAcentral. Lineage: Eukaryota; Metazoa; Chordata; Mammalia; Chiroptera; Pteropodidae.